Long non-coding RNA from Maniola jurtina (meadow brown), 224 nucleotides. RefSeq lists it as uncharacterized. NCBI's taxonomy places the organism in Eukaryota, Metazoa, Arthropoda, Insecta, Lepidoptera, Nymphalidae. The record is from RefSeq and is a predicted model, not a curated record. The transcript has 2 exons.
AUUUUUUAAUUGGAAAUUCCUACUAUAAUCUUUAAUCAGUGAACAAAUUACUUAAAUGCUAAUUAAUUUCCAGUAGAUACCUAGUUAACUGUCUAGCUGUUCAGUACACCCUUAAGGUGUGAGGCCUCCCUCAGAUGUUUGCUGUGUUCAUUUAACAGACGGUACCUACCUAUGAUUUUAUAAAACUUAUUUUAAAUAAAUAAAACUAAUUAAAAAAAAACUUA